GUCGGUGGUUGAUAGCGGCAGGGAAACGCCCGGUCCCAUUCCGAACCCGGAAGCUAAGCCUGCCCGCGCUGAUGGUACUGCACUCGGGAGGGUGUGGGAGAGUAGGUUGCCGCCGACG
Corynebacterium humireducens is the source of this 118-nucleotide non-coding RNA. Lineage: Bacteria; Bacillati; Actinomycetota; Actinomycetes; Mycobacteriales; Corynebacteriaceae. The record is from Rfam.